UACAGGGGUCCCAAGCGUUGUUCGGAUUCAUUGGGCGUAAAGGGUGCGUAGGCGGCGCGGGCAGUCGGGUGUGAAAUCUCGGAGCUUAACUCCGAAACGGCAUUCGAUACUGCCGUGCUUGAGGACUGGAGAGGAGACUGGAAUUCACGGUGUAGCAGUGAAAUGCGUAGAGAUCGGGAGGAAGGCCGGUGGCGAAGGCGGCGGGCUGGAACGUUUCUGACACUGAAGCGCGAAAGCGAGGGGAGCAAACAGG
Molecule: ribosomal RNA, 253 nt
Filed under: uncultured bacterium
Lineage: Bacteria
Description: partial 16S ribosomal RNA
Rfam family: Bacterial small subunit ribosomal RNA
Source: RNAcentral